UCGUGCGUCGCAUCACGCUUGCUUCCUCAUCCUCACGCCAAAACAGCCCAACAUCGGCCCAAAUUUGCGCAAGGUUCGACAACAUGCCCCGCCUCUUCUCCCCGGCGGCGACGCAAGCCGUCCGGAUUCCCCGGUGCAUAUCCUAUCUCCGCCGCCUUCUGCCUCGUGGAUCUGGGCGGCCGCCGCAGCCCAAUCGCGGGGUCGCGGGGUGGUGACCUGGACCUACGGCGGCGGCAGAUCUUGAGGGCCUAGGGUUGCAGCAGCACAAAUCAAGGCCCUGGUCCUCCUCGCAGCGCUGCAGGCAGGCAAGGUGCGCGGGAGCGAGCGGUAUGAGGUGCGCAUCUCAGAACUCGUGUCAGUAAAGUAGGAUGGCAGAGCGGAUGGGGGAUGGAAGAAAACUCACUCGUGUACUGGAGGUGUGAAGCCGAUAAGAAUCUGUUGACUGACGGCUAGCUCGUUGGUCUGGAGCACGAGACCCCAGCUUGCCGACAUACUCGGCCAGCACCACCACUUAGCUAGAUAUUACAACUGCACAACUCUGUCAGAUGAACUGAGCAAGUGAAUCCACGACACACUCCGGGCAGGAGAGAUUGUGGCUGUCAGACUGCGACAAGACAACACUCUUUCCCUCACGUUUUGAUGCAACUACAAUUUUUUAAUAUGUCUGCCUGAAGUCCAUGUCAAAGAAGUGAAUGCAUUUUUCUUCCUGGUUACAAACAAUGCUCCUUUUUAGAUGAGCUAACAUGGUUACUGGAAUUGUCUGAAGAGAAACAGUUAUUUACUC
Molecule: long non-coding RNA, 784 nt
Organism: Lolium perenne
Lineage: Eukaryota; Viridiplantae; Streptophyta; Magnoliopsida; Poales; Poaceae
Source: RefSeq, a predicted model, not a curated record